GAACCGGGAGAUCAUACGGCAGGGAGAAGCAUGAUCAGCCCCUUUUUUUUUUUUAUAGGGCUGACAGCGCGAACUCCGUUACUAUGCAGGAACGCUGCUAUAAUGAUGUCGUCAUUCAUAAUAUACUUGUGCAAACAAUGCUUGUGCAAACACUGCAACUUUACAAAGCUCAUCGACGUCCUUCUUGUCCACCUCCUCGGAGGAAGACAGGCGGAGCGUCAAGCCCUCUCUCUCUGGCGGGGAAGAAACUGCGGGGUCCCCAGCAGUGAUAUAGUGUUUGCAGGGAGGAACACACAGCCCGUAAUGCGAUCUGCUCUCGCCCAAGUGCUUAGUUUUCUCUGCACUUUUAGACAUUGUGGAGCUUAUUUCAAGUGAUUGUGUAGGGACAAACAACACUGAAUAAGACUCACAACACAGAUCGAUCGACAGACACACACACAGAGUAGCGGUUGCUGAAUGAUAAAAAGCUGAUUCCACCGCACAUGCUUUUAUGCUUCCUGGCCAAUUACGUCACCUGCCUGUGACAUCUCGCCCAUCCAUUGGACAGAUUACACAUGUGAUUAAGAGCGUGGUCACACUGAAGGUGUUCCCAUAGCGCUUCAACGCAGCUCGAGUUCCUGAAGAGGAACUACAUGAAAGAUUUACGUUAGUUAAAAAAUCCACAUCGUCUUUUGGCUGUAAUUUUCAAUCGAAGGGCAACAAGAGCAGCGAUGUAAGAAAGAAUUUACAUGUGCAGACGGAUUUAAACGUAGGCUUAAAUCAAAUGCUGUACCAUCAAUUUUCCCCCACAAAGAGUCUAAAUGCCCCCGGAUAUCGAGUGAAAUCUGCGCUGAGAAACAACAGAGACAAGAAAGCUAGAUGCUAUCCUGGUAGGAUGUAAACAUGAUGCCGCAGCCACUGAAGAAGAAAGUUCAAGCUUAUUCGCGGAGGAACUGGACAAUUCGUCAGUUUCACUGCAGUCGGUAAGUGUACAGUGUUCUUCAGUUAUGGUUGAUGCAACAACGCAGACUGAUGUUGACAAGUGCGAUGCAGCAGCACAGUGGUCAGUGGAUGUGUGUGACUCUGUUAACACCGACCAUAUAUGCUGCAGUGCCUGCUGAAGAGGGUGAGGGAGGUGAACUAGUAAAUCAGGGUGGUCAGUCCCAGGAUCUGUUCUUUUCAGAUAAUGAAUUUAGUGAGGGAAGUCAACUAGAAGAUAUACAGUCUAAUUCAGAAUAUAAUGCAAGUUCAUCUGAGCCUUCUCAAAGCACCCAUGAAUCUCAAACUUCAAAUGACAGCCAUAAAGACAGGCUGUUUGUUGUUUUUGAAGAACAGUUAAAAAAAUUACUACAGCAUUGUAUAAGGUGUGGCUCUUUGAUUGCCAUGGAGGAGAUGGAAAAUGAAGGAUCACAGCUGACUCUGGAGCUCACAUGUGCUAAUGGCUGUAGUUACAGAUGGCAGUCUCAGCCUACUGUCAACGGUACCAAGGGUGUUGGAAACCUGCUAUUUGCAGUGUCUGUGUUUUUCAGUGGCAUUCAUUUUGCUAAAUUUGAACAGUUUUGUAGGAACAUGAACCUCAAAACAAUAAGCGAAGACACAUACACAACACUUAGGAAGAAGUAUGCGUUGCCAGUUAUUGCGAAGACAUGGGCCAAAGAACAGAAUGCAGUGUUGAGCAAUAUGAAGUCAAGAGAAGUUGUCCUCUGUGGAGAUGGCCGGUGUGACUCUCCCGGUCAUUGUGCCAAAUACUGCACCUACACUUUUAUAGAUGAGUCAAAAAGUUGCAGACUUCAAAGUGAUAAGCUGCACCCAAGUUUCAAGCUCUAAUGCCAUGUAGACCAGAGGUUUUAAGGAAGCUCUUAAAUCAAUAGAAGAAAAUGGAGUGAAGGUCUCUACCAUUUCCACAGACAGGCACCCACAAAUUGUCAAAGAAAUGAGGGCCAGUAACCCAGAAAAACACCAUGAAUUUGACCCCAGGCAUGUGGCAAAAGGAGUGUCAAAAAAACUGGACAUUGCAGCUAAGAGGAAAGAAUGUGUGGGCCUGGGAGAGUGGAUACCAUCCAUUGUUAACCAUUUAUGGUGGAGUGCCCAAACCUGUGAGGGUAAUACUGAGGUGCUGAAGGCGAAGUGGGUGUCAGUAAUACACCAUGUUACCAACCGGCAUGACUGGCCAGGCAACAAGCAUUUACCAUAGAUCUGUUCAUGAGCCCCUUGAUGAGCUGACCGAGAGAACGAAGCUUUGGUUGAGUCCAGGAUCUAAGCCCACAAAACACUGGUGAGGACCGUUAAAGACAAGCGACUUUUGAAAGACCUAGACCACCUGACGAAGUGUAUCCACACUACGACACUAGAGGUGUACCCCUCCAUGUACCUCAAAUACCUUCCGAAGAGAACACAUUUUGGAUAUGAUGUGAUGAUCCAUGCUUGCUGCUCUGGAUCAUAACAACAACAGGGAACAGGCAGUGUUUCAAGAUGGGGAGACUGUUGGUGAACCUAAGCUCAAAAUCUCCUGGAGCAAAGUUCACAAGUAAUUCAGAGCAAGACCGGUGGCUGUUAAGAAGGACUAUGGCUACAUGACUGCAAUGGUGGCAGAUGUACUAUCCUCUGUGACAGAUUUAAAGCAAAGCAUGGACAUUACACUAGACUGAACACACAUCAUGGCACCACAACAAAGACCAUCGAGAUCACAGAUCAUAUUUCAGACACAGCAGUUUUCACGUUUCAAGUAGCUGCAUCUAUACAAACACUUUGCAUACACCAGCAUUCUUCUCUGUUAGUUGAGUCAUAUCAACUGGACUUCCCUCUAACCGCAACUCUAACAAGAACCUGGAUGAUUGAGGAUCUUCACAAACCAGCAUUUUUAAAAUCUACAAACUUUUAUUUUAAAUGUAUUUUGUACAAAGUUUACAUUGUUUGAUAAUGCCUGUACAUAAUUCAUUCUGUUGAUGAAAUGUUUUGUAAAUCUGAACAAUACAAGAGCUUAAA
Long non-coding RNA from Onychostoma macrolepis, 2964 nucleotides. RefSeq lists it as uncharacterized. The record is from RefSeq and is a predicted model, not a curated record. NCBI's taxonomy places the organism in Eukaryota, Metazoa, Chordata, Actinopteri, Cypriniformes, Cyprinidae. The transcript is spliced from 3 exons.